GAUAAUCUUAGGUUUUUCUACAAUAACAAAUUUAAAAUUUAAAAAUAAAUUUUAUUUAUUCAAUAAAGUUAAAUAUGGUUUACAAAUAUGAAUCGGUUUACAGUAAACCAAAGUUAAAAUGCAAACCAAAAAAAAAUUCUAAACCUAAUGUCCCCGCCGCUAAUGACCACCACUAAUCUCCGUCGCUCUCCACCACGACCACCACUUCUUCUUCUCUACUAUGUUUGUCAUCUGCUGUACCUAGCCAUGAAUUUCGUCGUCUUCUUCCUCUCUAAGCCCAGCUUCCGUUACUACUCCUUCGGCUUCACCGCCUCCACCGUGGCUUCAUCCUGUCUCCGCUUCCAGCCAAUCUCUCAUUCCUCACAUCAGAUCUUGAAUCGAUGGUGGAGAAAACUCCAUCUUCUUCAUGAAUCUGCAUCUUGACAAGAAGAAGCUUUGAUAAGAGAAUAGAUAAAAAGUGUGGUUGAGACAGAUUUCGUGGUGAUGGUUGAAACAGAGUUCAUUAGCGGAGAUAGAUAACGAGGAGGUGGAGAUUAAGAUGAUGGUGGCAGCGGCGGAGGUUAUGGUGAUGGUGGCUGAGACAGAUUCGUUGGCGGAGGUAGAGAACGAGGAGACAGAGAUGAUGGUGAUGGUGGUGGUUGUGACAGAUUUCGUUUAUGGGGUAAUUUUGUUUAAGGAUGAAGAAGAAAAUGAGAUAAGAAAAGAGAUAGAGAUAAGUCUUUGUUCAAAAGAAGAAAAAAAAGAGAGAGAGAAUACGAAAGGAAAGGUAGGAGAUAGAGGAAGACCACAUUUUUCACUUUGUUCAUUCUUGGCCAUUAGAUUUAUUUUAAUCAAUGGCUGUAGUUAAAAGAAAGUGAAUCCUCACACUUGCACCUUAGUGGUUACUUUUUGAGAGAGGGAAAAAUGAAAGUUAAGAGAGGAAAAUUGAUUAGUGAUGGAAUUUUCACAAAGUAUUUCGCGGAAGAUCUAAUUUUAGGUUUCCGCUUACUAAAAAUCUUUUAUAUCAUUUAUCUAAUGCUAUUAUAUGAUACGAAAAAUUUUAAAUCAUCGACGAUAGCAGUUCAGUAAAACGUGCUAUAACAAUGUGCUAUCAAUGUAGACUUUUUUGUAGUGGAUGCGAUGUUGCUGCGGUAUGGAAACCAUGACGAUCCAGAGCAAAUUAUAUUUUAUUUGGAGUUGGAAAGAAAGUGGCAGGAAACAGAGAUGACGACGCCAUCACCAUCGUUCUUGGUAACAAAGUCGAUUCCAGAAGUCGUAGCGAUUGUAGCAAAUACAUCGACAGUGGCUGAGGUGAUUGAUGUACCAAGAGCGAUGAAGGAUGAACUGUUGCACAAGGAGUCAAGGAUGACUCAAAUCCAGAACAUGAGGUACAAGUUUCUUACUUGGAACCAAGCCCUAUGCUUCACGAUUCAUUCGUUGUUUUUAUUGAUAUGUAAUUUGUGAAUUAUAUCAUAGGUAUAAUAGACACUGUACCAUUUUGACAGAACUAUCUCAAUUCAGAUAGUUCAAUUUGGAUCAGCCAGCUGAUUUUUAAAAUUAAGCCUAAAUUUUGAAAACUCAUCAAGAUGAUCUAUCUAGAUGAUUUGUAAAAACGAAACUUUCAUCUCCAUCUAGAUGACUCAUCUGGAUGGUGAAACAAACAACCCCACAAUUGCUUCUGAUUCAGCGUCUUCAGUAGCAACUAAUUCAUUAUGUGUAAGAACAUCAAAAUGUAUAGGAUUGUGGAUAAUAUUUGGCUCAUCUGAUACAAGAAUCACUUGAGGAGACUAAUGAGCUGGAAUGGAAGUCACUGAAGACAGAGUAGCUUGCUGCCAAGCUUGUAAAAGAGCUGAGGAAUACUGAGGAGCCAAUUGUUUGAAUUUAUCAGCAAAGGAAAAUAGAUUUUCAUUAAUAAUAAUAUGUUUGCUUAUAUAUACCCUUCCUAUUGUUGGUUACAAACAACAUGACCUUCGUAAGAGAAAUUGUAUCCAACAAAGACACAUUGCAUGAUCUUGCUUCAAGCUUGUGACUAGAGUAAAGUUAUAGAUAUGGAUAACAAGCACUUCCAAAAACCCCGCAGAGCUGAAAAUCUGGUUGUUGAUUGUAAAGAACUUCCUAAGGUGCUUAAUGCAUAUAUAUAUACACCGCGUACAAAGAAAUCAUCUAAGAUGUGCUGUCCACAGAAAAAAAAGAAGCAAAUUUUGAAUAUUAGAAAAUAAGUCAAGUUUCCUACUCCAAUUGAUUGGAUUUCGACGGCCAUAAAAACUAUAUUUCGUCAAAAGGAAAAAGUAAACCCCAAAAAAGAUAUUCAAAUAAUCAACCAGGACGAAUUACACCAGCAAGAAGUCUCCUCCCUAUCAAUUCCUUCCUCCGACCUCCAGAUUAAAAAAUUCAUGCUUUCGAGCAAUAGGAUAAAUUUCCUGCAACAAACAUGAUAAGUCUAUGUGAAUAUCAUCAGUCCGACAAAUAUCCAUGCCCAUUGUAGCAUUCUACUACUUAACUCAUGGCUUAGGCCAUGAUCCAUCGACUAAAAUAUGGAAAUAAACUACCUAUUUCAGAACAUCAACAAUCCCUACCUUAUACGACUAGGCGGCAUCCAAAUAAGACUACCACGGCUAUGUGCCUAAAAGGCUACAUGCCACUAAUGCCUUGCGCCAAAAGACAAAUUUUGUUAAUCACUGAAUUAUGAGUCUAUGAUCAUCAAUCCCAUAAGAUCAUAUGAUCUCAUACGGUCCCGAGCCUAACUCAUCUAAAAAACAAUAGGUGACCUUCGAUUACUUGGGACUAGAUAUCUACUUCCGGGAUUCAUACAUGGUCAAGGCCAGAACAAAUUGGAUAAGGCAUAAAGAAACGGCGUCCUGCUCAUGGUAAACUUGCUGAGAAAUAAUGAUUCUGAUCAACAAAAGUGCAUAGGUUAUCUCCCGACUUCACCCAUGAAUUAGAAAGAUAAAGGAAAAUUGUUGGGGAUAAAUAAUUGAGUAAGUUACAUGCUUUUGAGCAGGACGCCAAUCUUCAAUUCCUUCUUGAAUAAAUCUCAACUCCAGAUUUGGAUCAAUUCAUGCACCGUGUAAAUGGAAAACUUCUAAUAAAAGGAGAUUCUUCCAUAAUUCAGGAUGUAAAAGAUUUUAACCUCACUUCCGACUGUGAACAACCUAUAAAAUGAGAUCCCUAAAACAAAGGAUCGACUAUUCAAGACAUCAACUGUAGAGUUAAGUGGAUAUAACUAGGGUUCCUAAUCCAAACUGUGUAGUCCUAGUUCUAAAAAUUAAUAAAACAUUACUUUUAAUCAUUGUUCAUAUGCUUGUUAUUGCUUAUUCCACGUUUCCGUAGUAAAAUAGUCUACACAAAUUUAUCCUAACGUUAACACCUUGUAAGACAAAAUUAGUACAAAUACAGUUGAAUAUUAAAAUAUAGGUUAAUAUAUUACUAAAUAUAUAUUCAAAAAUGUUGUUAAAUAUUUAGGAACCCUUCCUAAAAGUAAACAUUAUUAGUUAAAUAUUUUAAGUAUUUCUAAAUAUAAAAUCCAUGUAGUUAAUACAGUAUACAUACAGUUAAAAUUAACAAGUUACAAUUUUAGAGCACCUCUAUCAGUAACAACCGAUAGAAGUUGCUAAAAGAAAAUAAAUAUUAUUAUUAUUAUAAAAUUAAUCAUCUUUAUAUAUUAAGAAGGGUUUUACUUCCUCAUGAGGCUAUCCACGUAAGCUGCCAUGUCACUAAUUCAUGUCUUUCCAGCUUGACACGUGGACUCUUCUAAGAGCGUGUUAUUCACUUUGAUUUUUCUUUUAACCUAACCAAUCCUUGCCGUUCCGCAUCCUCUUCCCAAACGAUCCAACUGAGAAAUGCCAGUCUUUAUGGAAUUGAAACCUGAAUACCCACUACUUCAUCUUCAAUGCUUGGUUACUUCUUCUUCGAGUUUGCACAUAGAGUAUAUAUAGAGGAUUUAAGCGUCUUCACAAUCAUCUAUUUGAUUCGCCUUCAAUCGCAUAACCCCAAAGCUCUCUCACCAAUAUCCGAUAAUGGGUAAUCAACAGCGCCAAUUCUCAGAGUUAAGAUAGGCCGUUGUAUAAAUUGGGUUGUGACAAGGCUCCUUCGGUUUAGGGAAGCUUGCAAUGUCAAGAAAAGAGAUCCUUCUUGCAAAUUGAUGGAAAGGUACCUACUGUAAAUUUUGAUGUACGUUUAUAGACAUUAGGGUCUUAUAAGAAACACAGCUCACGGGUUACUUUUUUGUUGCCUCACUUGCUGAUGGUAUCCCUUGUUUACGUAUCUCGAUCUGUGUUCUUUGAAAAAAAAAAGUUAUGUGUUCUUCGUUUAUCAUUCUGUUUGUUUUCAUGUUUUAGAUUGUUUGAUACCGCGUAGAUAUUCAGAACUUUUCUUUUUUUGGUACAAUAGAUAUUCAGAACGUUUCUUUUUGGUACAAUAGAUAUUCAGAACUUGACAGUUCCUUCCGUACCUUUCACUCUGGAGUAGCUUCCCGUCAUGGUGAAUUCUCAAACCCACUCGAGAAUUGGGAUGGUACGCACUGAUCAUGAACUAGAAGCUAUCAGGCAGCGAAGAAUGCAAGAGUGAUGGUUCAACAUAGCACUGUAACUUCUAAUUUCUAAUAGCGUUCAUGUAUGCCAGUUCUGUUUUUCUUUUUAAUUGAGAAAAUUGCACUUUGUGCCUCAUUGCGAACCACCCUGAUGUGCAGGGGAAGCAUGCAAUCAUCAGAAUCCGGAUCAAGAGAGAGCACAAGAAGAUGCUAAAAAUUGUGUUAAUUUGCUGACUAUUAGCUGAAAAAUAAACUCUGUGUUGAGCUAAACUACUCUCUGAUUGGAACGUAUGUUUAAGGAAGCUGAUGAGCGUAUGUUUAGGGAAGCUGAUGAAUGUGUUUACAGAUCCAGAGACGUCGUGCGUAUGCUAUUUCAUGUCUUCUCAUUCAUUUUUACUUGAACUCUUCUGUGACCUUAUCAUCACUGCGAUAGUUAUACUCUGACUUUGCAUCUUCUGCAAAAAUUAGAGUAGCUGAAAAAAUAACAGCCGUCUCCAUCAACGGCAAAGAGAGAUAAAGAAAAGCAGAGGAAUACAUAAACCGUAGCUUAUUAUACUCGAGAUCUUUAAGAGUGUGAUCGUAUCCACCAUUUGGUAAUAGAGGAUAUAUUUGAGUUCUAUAGAUGAUAAAAUAACAUUUCUUAGUUAAAACUAUUGAAUCACCUUAUGUCACAUGUAUUCAACUUAUAUCAUUAGACUAACUUUAUAAGACAGCUUCACUAUUUUCAGGGUAGUUAAUUUCCUUUCGGUCAACAAACAAGAAGAUAACUAAUCAAAAGUGAGUUAAAAAAAAACUUAUCAAAAGUAAGAAAAUAAAUUAUCAUAAUUAAUUAAAUUUAGUUAAAAUGAUAUAUAUCAAAUUUUAAUGGGUCAAUUAUUGGUGUAUUGCAUUUUUAGAACAUUUAUGCAUCAAAAGAAAAAUUACAUGAAUCAAGAUAGCUAAUCAAAAUUUUCAUAAAUCAAACAAUGUUUAUUUUACGUAUACUUUAGCUUUGAAAUUGUUUUAUAAUUCACAUCCCGUCUAUAAGACGGACCGACCCUAGUAUAUAUAAUGGAAGAGUUUUUGCUCUCUCCGGAGGCUAUCCACCUCAGCGUAGUGGACCCCACAAGGAAAAAAAUAUAUUUAUAUAAUAGAAAAAAAAGAAGAAGAAUCGAUCUUCUUUGCAUCCUCUCUUCCACCUUAUCUCCACCACGGCUGUUACUAUCGUCGUCCUUGAUAACGUUUAAGGAAUCGUACGGUUGUGGGAGAUUUCGCUAAACACUUGGAUCUCGAUAAAACCUUGAGUGCCUCAAAGCAGAUCGAGAUCUAUUCAGCCUGGAUAAGUGGAGAGAAAAGGAAGAAGGAGAUGAUGAUCCUUGAGGAAGAAGAAAAUGAAGAGAGGGAGACGGAGAGGAAGGAUGAUCGGAGAUAUUUACAAGAGAAGUGAGUGUCAAGGGAGUUGGAGUUAACGCUAUUGUUGUUGUUGCUGGAAGGAAGCUUUGGUCAUGGAGAUUUGUGCGUGUGGACCACAGUGAUUUGAUCUUCCAGCGAAAACAUCUAAGAGAGAAGAAUUUAGUUACCCAUAAACAAUGGAUUCCACUCAUGCCAUGAUUGCCCAAGCUUGGAAAGACCAGACGCCACAUG
This 6130-nucleotide long non-coding RNA is filed under the name Brassica napus (rape). RNAcentral describes it as "long non-coding RNA (BNAP_LNC022845)". The record is from RNAcentral. Lineage: Eukaryota; Viridiplantae; Streptophyta; Magnoliopsida; Brassicales; Brassicaceae.